RNAcentral lists this ribosomal RNA (962 nucleotides) under uncultured bacterium. RNAcentral describes it as "bacterial SSU rRNA". It matches the Rfam family "Bacterial small subunit ribosomal RNA", at positions 55 to 1093 of the family's 1533-position model. The record is from RNAcentral.
AUGCAAGUCGUACGAGAGUUUUUAACUCAAGUGGCGGACGGGUGAGUAACACGUGAGAAUUUGCCUUUAGGAGGGGGAUAACAGAGUGAAAACGCUGCUAAUACCCCAUAUGCUUUCGAGUGAAAUGGAUUUAUUCGCCUAAAGAGAAGCUCGCGGCUGAUUAGCUUGUUGGUAAGGUAAUGGCUUACCAAGGCGACGAUCAGUAUCUGGUUUGAGAGGACGAUCAGACACACUGGAACUGAGACACGGUCCAGACUCCUACGGGAGGCAGCAGUGGGGAAUUUUCCGCAAUGGGCGAAAGCCUGACGGAGCAAUACCGCGUGAGGGAAGACGGCCUAUGGGUUGUAAACCUCUUUUCUCAGGGAGGAAAUCAAUGACGUUACCUGAGGAAUAAGCAUCGGCUAACUCCGUGCCAGCAGCCGCGGUAAGACGGAGGAUGCAAGUGUUAUCCGGAAUCACUGGGCGUAAAGCGUCUGUAGGUGGCUUAACAAGUCAACUGUUAAAUCUUGAAGCUCAACUUCGAAAUCGCAGUCGAAACUGUUAGGCUAGAGUAUAGUAGGGGUAAAGGGAAUUUCCAGUGGAGUGGUGAAAUGCGUAGAGAUUGGAAAGAACACCGAUGGCGAAGGCACUUUACUGGGCUAUUACUGACACUCAGAGACGAAAGCUAGGGUAGCAAAUGGGAUUAGAUACCCCAGUAGUCCUAGCCGUAAACAAUGGAUACUAGAUGUUGGGCAGAUCGACCUGUUCAGUAUUAAAGCUAACGCGUUAAGUAUCCCGCCUGGGAAGUAUGCGCGCAAGCGUGAAACUCAAAGGAUUGACGGGGCCCGCACAAGCGUGAGCAUGUGGUUAUCGAUGCACCGCGAGACUACAGGUUGACUUGAUACGAUUUUUUGAAGAAAAGUGCGAUGGACGUUACCAGUGUGCAUGCUGCUCAGCCAGUCUGAAGUUGUUAGUCCCGCCAC